RNAcentral lists this long non-coding RNA (296 nucleotides) under Homo sapiens (human). RNAcentral describes it as "HSALNT0164632". The record is from RNAcentral. Lineage: Eukaryota; Metazoa; Chordata; Mammalia; Primates; Hominidae.
GAAGGCUCUGAGAUGCGUGGAAUCACACCCCAAAGGUUUCACUGUGUCCGGUGAUUCCUUGGCUGCCUUUUUUUGUGCUGCUGAAGAGGCAGGCAGCAUAUUGAGCCUCAUCCAUUUCACACGAGUUCCUAUGAGAGAGCCGUCAUAUUUUCACUGUGUUCUUUUCAUUUCUCACGGAUACCUGUGCAGACAGGUCAGAAUACUCUUGGGGAAGGAAUGAGAUGAAGCCUGCAAGAGUGUUUUGGGGUGUCUAGGUGUGCUUUCUUAGGAUAAACACAUGUCCCAAAACAUUCGUC